Molecule: long non-coding RNA, 734 nt
Organism: Oncorhynchus tshawytscha (Chinook salmon)
Lineage: Eukaryota; Metazoa; Chordata; Actinopteri; Salmoniformes; Salmonidae
Exons: 2
Source: RefSeq, a predicted model, not a curated record
UGAUCUCCUUCAACAGAGAUAUGACCGAUAGACAGGUCGUGAGGCGAUCUCCUUCAACAGAGAUUUGUCUGAUGUGUGUUUACAGAUGACUAGAUCAGAAUGCUCUGUUCACUGUCAAACCUGGCCUGCCCUGAGACUGUACACAGACCUGUGAUAUACCAUACCUUCACCUUGCUCUGGUUUUAACAUGUUGAGUUGCACUGUGAAAUACUGAUGCAAGAGUUGCUCUGGAAUUGAAUGAAACAUCCACUGUAAAGUAAAACGUCAGCACCAAGACCGUGAUUAGACAAAACAAAUACUGGUCAAAUAAUCUGACAUUGUGUCGUGUUUCCAUAGGCUUCAAACCAUGAAUGUCCUCUUUGAAUUGAGUUCACUUUCUUACCGUAUAUUUCAUCUUUCUUACCGUAUAUUUAAUCUUUCUUACCGUAUAUUUCAUCUUUCUUACCGUAUAUUUAAUCUUUCUUACCGUAUAUUUAAUCUUUCUUACCGUAUAUUUAAUCUCUCAAACUCAAUUAGUUUCAGGGUUUCGUCUUUAAGACUCGUUUUAGAACUAGCUAGCUUUUUAUUCCGAGACUAUUUCUUUAAACGUUUGUUGCUUUUCAAAACGUUUCAAUUUAUUUUCUCUCUUUUGGUUCUUUUUGAUUUGUUUGUUUAAGUGUUGUAGAAACUGGACAACGGCUGCAUUGAACGGGAAAUUGUUGUAUUAUAAAAUGAUAAUAAAGUGUUUGUCUUUA